UCUCUGGGCCGCGGAGGACAUUAGAGGCCGGGGUGCGAACCAGGCCUUUCUGUGAGCACUUGCCUGAGGGGCAGCCCGGCCCGUGCCCGUGGGGAACAGGUCCGUUUUGCCUGUGUCCCC
Long non-coding RNA from Mustela erminea (ermine), 120 nucleotides. RefSeq lists it as uncharacterized. The transcript has 3 exons. Lineage: Eukaryota; Metazoa; Chordata; Mammalia; Carnivora; Mustelidae. The record is from RefSeq and is a predicted model, not a curated record.